This 473-nucleotide ribosomal RNA is filed under the name uncultured bacterium. Its description in RNAcentral is "SSU rRNA". It matches the Rfam family "Bacterial small subunit ribosomal RNA", at positions 26 to 518 of the family's 1533-position model. The record is from RNAcentral.
AGAACGAACGCUGGCGGCGUGGAUAAGACAUGCAAGUCGAGCGCUAAUUACAGGGUAGCAAUACCUAGUGGCAGACGGGUGAGUAGCGCGUGGUCAACCUACCGUUGAGUGGGGGAUAACUAGCCGAAAGGUUAGCUAAUACCGCAUACGUCUCCGAGGGGCAUCCCUUGGUGAUAAAAGGAGCAAUCCGCUCGAUGACGGGACCGCGUCCCAUUAGCUAGUUGGUGGGGUAACGGCCUACCAAGGCAUCGAUGGGUAGCUGGUUUGAGAGAGCGACCAGCCACACUGGGACUGAGAUACGGCCCAGACUCCUACGGGAGGCAGCAGUGAGGAAUUUUCCGCAAUGGGCGAAAGCCUGACGGAGCGACGCCGCGUGUGGGAAGAAGGCCUUCGGGUCGUAAACCACUGUCGAAGGGGAAGAUAAUGACGGUACCCUUGGAGGAAGCCCCGGCUAACUACGCGCCAGCAGCCGC